This is a long non-coding RNA of Junco hyemalis (dark-eyed junco), 2621 nucleotides long. The record is from Ensembl. Lineage: Eukaryota; Metazoa; Chordata; Aves; Passeriformes; Passerellidae.
UUGUCCUUCAAUGGGGCCAUGUAAUGGGUCUAAAACGGAGUUCAGAUCAGCCCAGGCUGAUUUAUAUAGAGGCUAUUUAUCUGUUUAUUUAAUAAUAGGCUGUACGGUGCACACAUGAACUGAUAGAUUAUAUUGCACCAACCAGCAGCUACAAGGAAUCAUCGAUAAUCAAUAUCAGUAUCAAAUGUCACCAUUAGGUUGGAUGUGUAUCUCACACACAUGUAAUCAGGGUCCAAGAAGAUAAAGUUUUUUAUUCUGCAUGUUCUCCAGCUUACAUACUCUUAAAAAAGCUUGAUAUUAAUUGGUGCAAAGCAAUUAGCGUCAAUAUAAUUGGCAAAAGUUUUACAGAAAUUUAUUAAGGCACAUAUACACAUGUAUUAAGGCACAUAGUCCAGCUAACAAAAAUUUUCAUCUAUCUUUUCUAAUCCGCUUCCAUGCUGACGACCUUGUCGUCUUCCUUGCUAUGGAUACAUUCAAAAACCAUCAAUUGUUAUUUCUUCUCUUAACUCAGCUUUGCUUGCAGGCCAGCUGUCAAAGCCCUUCCAUAAUCAAAUUGCUGGUGAUUAAUAACAAUGCGGAAAAGCCAAUACAGAAAUGCAGAAGUCAGUUAGUGUCAUUUAUAACCCAUCUCUGCUGCAGGCACAGUGAAAAGCUGGAAGCUCUUGAGGGGACUCAUUCAUCCCUGUCCCUGAGUGUCCCCAGAAUGUCCCUGAGUGUCCCCAGUGACAUCACCCCAGGAACUCCCAUCAGGAUUUGGGACAGUAUCAUUGAAAAUUCCCAGAAAAUUUCCCAAAUCUGUCUCAAAUACUGCACAGGGAGGGCACAGGUGACAGCAGCACUGUCCCUGAUGAUGUCAGUGCUCCCAUGUGAAACUUUCCUGCAGCAGCCUCGGGAUGUCCUGGAUGGCUUUUUGGCACUGCUUGGCCACUGUGCAGCUGCCAGGGCCACCGGGGCCACCACAACCAUCAUAGGGACUCAAGAGGAUGUUGUUGAUGACCCCAAGUGUCCCAAGCAGGUGAUCCUUGGCCAGACGGGUGCUGGCCUCCCACAGCCACUCAAACUUGGCCACUUUGGCUACCAAGGCCUGGAGGACAUCAGGGGACACCUUGUUUGUCCCCUUCAGGAUGGCCUUGAUGUCCCUGAGCCGCCACUCCAUGUUCCAGUAGAACAAGGUGGCUCUGUCACACGUGGCCACCAAGCGCUGCAGCAGUCCCAGGGCCACCACUGCCCAACGUCCCCUCCUGGUGGCCGCCACAGCCUCUCCCAUUCCCUCACUGGUGGCUGCCGCCACCUGGGCAUUGUAUGUGGCCAUUUCCCUGGCCACUUCCUCCUCCUCCAGGGCCACCAUCAGCUGCUGGUUCGCAAUUACUUUCCUGUGGUUGUCACGGAGCUUGGUGGCCUCCCUGGCCAGCCAGUCCCAGCUAUCCACAAGCCUGGCCACCAACUCCUGCCAGGCCUUGGCCACGGCUCUCACAUUGGCCCAGGUGGUCCCAGGGGUGGCGCCGAGGGUGGCCAGGGCCUGGCCCAGGGAGGCGACACCAGGGUGGCCCAGGGAGGUGACACCGCCAUGGUUCAGGAUUGCCCGAAGGCUCUGGGUGAAGUUCUUCAGGUCCUCAUCUAAGAAGUUUGGGGACUUGUUGCUUUGUGGCCCAGUCAUGGUGGCCAGCAGCUCGCCCAGGGUGGCCACCACAGACACCAGCACCUGAAGCUGUGGAGGGGACACCUGUGGAGGAGACAGGGGAGAUGUCAGGGACCUGGUGGCACUUAUGGCCUCCUGCGGUGGCCUCGGUGCCCUCAAGCAGUCCCCUCUGCCCUUCCGACCCUUUGUCAGCGUCUUGUCCCCACUGCCACCUCCCGCCACCCCCCGUGUUCCCCCCACUGUCCCCUCUGUUCCCCUCUCCCCACCAUCGCACCUCUUGGGGCUCCAUGGUCACUGGGGAUACAUUGGGGACACUCUGGGGAUGGUCUGGGGGUUGAAGGAGCCUUGGGAUGUCCUCGAGAGCUCUUUGGCACCGCUCGGCCACCCCACAGGCAAUGGGGCUGGCGCAACCACCGGUGAAAUAGAACUUGAUGAUGUCGUCAAUUGCCCCCAGCAGGUGAUCCUUGGCCAGGCGGGCGUUGGCCUCCCACAGCCGCUCGGCCUCGGCCAACUUGGCCACCAAGCCCUUGAGGACGUUGAGGGAUGCCUCAUUUAUCCCCUUCAGGGCGGCCUUGAUGUCCCUGAGCAGGCGCUGCAGCUCCCGGGGGAACGCGGUGGCUUCAUCAGAUGCGGCCACCAAGCGCUCCAGCAGCCCCAGGGCCGCCUCCACCCGCUGUCUCACCAUGGUGGCCCUUGUUGCCUCGCUGGCAGCCACCAUGGCAUCUCUCCUCACCUGGGCUCCAUGCCCAGCCACCUCCUCGGCCCCCUCCUCCCUGCCCAGGGCCUGACCCAGCUCCACCAUGUUUUCCUGAGCUGUCCCAUCAUGGGCAGCCUCGUCCUGCAGCUCCCUGGCCCGAGUGGCGGCGGUGGCCACCCUGUCAGCCGCCUUGGUGGCCAAAUCCCUGCAGGUGUUGCGGAGCUCGGUGGCUGCCCUGGCCAGCCGGACCCAGCUGUUCACAAGCGCAGACACUGACCACAGCCA